UACGUAGGUGGCAAGCGAUACUCGGAAUCACUAGGCGUAAAGCGCAGGUAGGCGGUUCGGUAAGUCUUUUGUGAAAGCUCCUGGCUCAACUGGGAGAGGCCAAGGGAAACUGCCGGGCUAGAGUGUGGUAGGGGAUACUGGAAUUCCUGGUGUAGCGGUGAAAUGCGUAGAUAUCAGGAGGAAUACCUAUGGCGAAAGCAGGUAUCUGGGCCAUCACUGACGCUGAGCUGCGAAAGCUAGGGGAGAAGACAGG
RNAcentral lists this ribosomal RNA (253 nucleotides) under uncultured bacterium. Its description in RNAcentral is "partial 16S ribosomal RNA". It matches the Rfam family "Bacterial small subunit ribosomal RNA", at positions 524 to 776 of the family's 1533-position model. The record is from RNAcentral.